AAGAUAUUAGUAAAAUCAGUCAAUUACACUGCCUUGUCAAGGCAAAAUUGUGGGUUUAAAUCCCGCAUGUCUCG
This 74-nucleotide transfer RNA is filed under the name Stegastes flavilatus (beaubrummel damselfish). Its description in RNAcentral is "tRNA-Asp". It matches the Rfam family "tRNA". Rfam says of the family: Transfer RNA (tRNA) molecules are approximately 80 nucleotides in length. Their secondary structure includes four short double-helical elements and three loops (D, anti-codon, and T loops). Lineage: Eukaryota; Metazoa; Chordata; Actinopteri; Pomacentridae. The record is from RNAcentral.